RNAcentral lists this ribosomal RNA (505 nucleotides) under uncultured bacterium. RNAcentral describes it as "partial 16S ribosomal RNA". It matches the Rfam family "Bacterial small subunit ribosomal RNA", at positions 28 to 507 of the family's 1533-position model. The record is from RNAcentral.
GACGAACGCUGGCGGCGUGCCUAAUACAUGCAAGUAGGACGCACAGUCUAUACCGUAGCUUGCUACACCAUAGGCUGUGAGUUGCGAACGGGUGAGUAACGCGUAGGUAACCUGCCUAUUAGAGGGGGAUAACUAUUGGAAACGAUAGCUAAUACCGCAUAACAGUAUGUAACACAUGUUAGAUGCUUGAAAGAUGCAAUUGCAUCGCUAGUAGAUGGACCUGCGUUGUAUUAGCUAGUAGGUAGGGUAAUGGCCUACCUAGGCGACGAUACAUAGCCGACCUGGGAGGGUGAUCGGCCACACUGGGACUGAGACACGGCCCAGACUCCUACGGGAGGCAGCAGUAGGGAAUCUUCGGCAAUGGGGGGAACCCUGACCGAGCAACGCCGCGUGAGUGAAGAAGGUUUUCGGAUCGUAAAGCUCUGUUGUUAAGGAAGAACGAGUGUGAGAAUGGAAAGUUCAUACUGUGACGGUACUUAACCAGAAAGGGACGGCUAACUACGUG